UUUAUCNUGGCUCAGAUUGAACGCUGCGGCAGGCNUAACACAUNAAGUCGAGCGGUAGCACAAGAGAGCUUGCUCUCUGGGUGACGAGCGGCGGACGGGUGAGUAAUGUCUGGGAAACUGCCUGAUGGAGGGGGAUAACUACUGGAAACGGUAGCUAAUACCGCAUGACGUCUUCGGACCAAAGUGGGGGACCUUCGGGCCUCACGCCAUCAGAUGUGCCCAGAUGGGAUUAGCUAGUAGGUGGGGUAAUGGCUCACCUAGGCGACGAUCUCUAGCUGGUCUGAGAGGAUGACCAGCCACACUGGAACUGAGACACGGUCCAGACUCCUACGGGAGGCAGCAGUGGGGAAUAUUGCACAAUGGGCGCAAGCCUGAUGCAGCCAUGCCGCGUGUAUGAAGAAGGCCUUCGGGUUGUAAAGUACUUUCAGCGAGGAGGAAGGCAUUAAGGUUAAUAACCUUAGUGAUUGACGUUACUCGCAGAAGAAGCACCGGCUAACUCCGUGCCAGCAGCCGCGGUAAUACGGAGGGUGCAAGCGUUAAUCGGAAUUACUGGGCGUAAAGCGCACGCAGGCGGUUUGUUAAGUCAGAUGUGAAAUCCCCGAGCUUAACUUGGGAACUGCAUUUGAAACUGGCAAGCUAGAGUCUUGUAGAGGGGGGUAGAAUUCCAGGUGUAGCGGUGAAAUGCGUAGAGAUCUGGAGGAAUACCGGUGGCGAAGGCGGCCCCCU
RNAcentral lists this ribosomal RNA (726 nucleotides) under Hafnia alvei. RNAcentral's name for it is "bacterial SSU rRNA". It matches the Rfam family "Bacterial small subunit ribosomal RNA", at positions 13 to 730 of the family's 1533-position model. Lineage: Bacteria; Pseudomonadati; Pseudomonadota; Gammaproteobacteria; Enterobacterales; Hafniaceae. The record is from RNAcentral.